UACGUAGGGUGCGAGCGUUGUCCGGAAUUAUUGGGCGUAAAGAGCUCGUAGGCGGUGUGUCGCGUCGGUCGUGAAAACUUGGGGCUUAACUCUGAGCUUGCGGUCGAUACGGGCAUCACUUGAGUUCGGCAGGGGAGACUGGAAUUCCUGGUGUAGCGGUGAAAUGCGCAGAUAUCAGGAGGAACACCGGUGGCGAAGGCGGGUCUCUGGGACGGUACUGACGCUGAGACGCGAAAGCGUGGGGAGCGAACAGG
Molecule: ribosomal RNA, 254 nt
Filed under: uncultured bacterium
Lineage: Bacteria
Description: partial 16S ribosomal RNA
Rfam family: Bacterial small subunit ribosomal RNA
Source: RNAcentral